AACGCACAUUGCGCCCCCUGGUAUUCCGGGGGGGCAUGCCUGUUCGAGCGUCAUUACAACCCUCAGGCUCUGCUUGGCGUUGGGCUCGCCUUCGUCACGAAGGCCUGCCUCAAAAUCAGUGGCGGCCGCCGUCCGACCUUCAGCGCAGUAAUGCUCGUCGCUGGUAGGGAAGGACAGCAGGUGCCGUCAGCACAACCCCCACACACAAGGUUGACCUCGGAUCAGGUAGGGACACCCGCUGAACUUAA
This 248-nucleotide unclassified non-coding RNA is filed under the name uncultured Lophodermium. Its description in RNAcentral is "partial contains 5.8S ribosomal RNA, internal transcribed spacer 2, and large subunit ribosomal RNA". Lineage: Eukaryota; Fungi; Ascomycota; Leotiomycetes; Rhytismatales; Rhytismataceae. The record is from RNAcentral.